AGAGUUUGAUUCUGGCUCAGGACGAACGCUGGCGGCGUGCCUAAUACAUGCAAGUCGAGCGAGCUUGCCUAGAUGAUUUUAGUGCUUGCACUAAAUGAAACUAGAUACAAGCGAGCGGCGGACGGGUGAGUAACACGUGGGUAACCUGCCCAAGAGACUGGGAUAACACCUGGAAACAGAUGCUAAUACCGGAUAACAACACUAGACGCAUGUCUAGAGUUUGAAAGAUGGUUCUGCUAUCACUCUUGGAUGGACCUGCGGUGCAUUAGCUAGUUGGUAAGGUAACGGCUUACCAAGGCAAUGAUGCAUAGCCGAGUUGAGAGACUGAUCGGCCACAUUGGGACUGAGACACGGCCCAAACUCCUACGGGAGGCAGCAGUAGGGAAUCUUCCACAAUGGACGAAAGUCUGAUGGAGCAACGCCGCGUGAGUGAAGAAGGGUUUCGGCUCGUAAAGCUCUGUUGGUAGUGAAGAAAGAUUGAGGUAGUAACUGGCCUUUAUUUGACGGUAAUUACUUAGAAAGUCACGGCUAACUACGUGCCAGCAGCCGCGGUAAUACGUAGGUGGCAAGCGUUGUCCGGAUUUAUUGGGCGUAAAGCGAGUGCAGGCUGUUCAAUAAGUCUGAUGUGAAAGCCUUCGGCUCAACCGGAGAAUUGCAUCAGAAACUGUUGAACUUGAGUGCAGAAGAGGAGAGUGGAACUCCAUGUGUAGCGGUGGAAUGCGUAGAUAUAUGGAAGAACACCAGUGGCGAAGGCGGCUCUCUGGUCUGCAACUGACGCUGAGGCUCGAAAGCAUGGGUAGCGAACAGGAUUAGAUACCCUGGUAGUCCAUGCCGUAAACGAUGAUUGCUAAAUGUUGGGAGGUUUCCCCCUC
This 872-nucleotide ribosomal RNA is filed under the name uncultured bacterium. RNAcentral's name for it is "bacterial SSU rRNA". It matches the Rfam family "Bacterial small subunit ribosomal RNA", at positions 8 to 839 of the family's 1533-position model. The record is from RNAcentral.